GGCCUAACACAUGCAAGUCGAACGGUAACAUUUCUAGCUUGCUAGAAGAUGACGAGUGGCGGACGGGUGAGUAAUGCUUGGGAACUUGCCUUUGCGAGGGGGAUAACAGUUGGAAACGACUGCUAAUACCGCAUAAUGUCUUCGGACCAAACGGGGCUUAGGCUCCGGCGCAAAGAGAGGCCCAAGUGAGAUUAGCUAGUUGGUAAGGUAAAGGCUUACCAAGGCGACGAUCUCUAGCUGUUCUGAGAGGAAGAUCAGCCACACUGGGACUGAGACACGGCCCAGACUCCUACGGGAGGCAGCAGUGGGGAAUAUUGCACAAUGGGGGAAACCCUGAUGCAGCCAUGCCGCGUGUGUGAAGAAGGCCUUCGGGUUGUAAAGCACUUUCAGUUGUGAGGAAAAGUUAGUAGUUAAUACCUGCUAGCCGUGACGUUAACAACAGAAGAAGCACCGGCUAACUCCGUGCCAGCAGCCGCGGUAAUACGGAGGGUGCGAGCGUUAAUCGGAAUUACUGGGCGUAAAGCGCACGCAGGCGGUUUGUUAAGCUAGAUGUGAAAGCCCCGGGCUCAACCUGGGAUGGUCAUUUAGAACUGGCAGACUAGAGUCUUGGAGAGGGGAGUGGAAUUCCAGGUGUAGCGGUGAAAUGCGUAGAUAUCUGGAGGAACAUCAGUGGCGAAGGCGACUCCCUGGCCAAAGACUGACGCUCAUGUGCGAAAGUGUGGGUAGCGAACAGGAUUAGAUACCCUGGUAGUCCACACCGUAAACGCUGUCUACUAGCUGUUUGUGACUUUAAGUCGUGAGUAGCGAAGCUAACGCGCUAAGUAGACCGCCUGGGGAGUACGGCCGCAAGGUUAAAACUCAAAUGAAUUGACGGGGGCCCGCACAAGCGGUGGAGCAUGUGGUUUAAUUCGAUGCAACGCGAAGAACCUUACCUACACUU
RNAcentral lists this ribosomal RNA (940 nucleotides) under Alteromonas macleodii. Its description in RNAcentral is "bacterial SSU rRNA". It matches the Rfam family "Bacterial small subunit ribosomal RNA", at positions 45 to 982 of the family's 1533-position model. Lineage: Bacteria; Pseudomonadati; Pseudomonadota; Gammaproteobacteria; Alteromonadales; Alteromonadaceae. The record is from RNAcentral.